UACGGAGGGGGCUAGCGUUGUUCGGAAUUACUGGGCGUAAAGCGUACGUAGGCGGCUUUAUAAGUUAGAGGUGAAAGCCCGGGGCUCAACCCCGGAAUUGCCUUUAAGACUGCAUCGCUUGAAUCGCGGAGAGGUGAGUGGAAUUCCGAGUGUAGAGGUGAAAUUCGUAGAUAUUCGGAAGAACACCAGUGGCGAAGGCGGCUCACUGGACGCGUAUUGACGCUGAGGUACGAAAGCGUGGGGAGCAAACAGG
Molecule: ribosomal RNA, 253 nt
Filed under: uncultured bacterium
Lineage: Bacteria
Description: partial 16S ribosomal RNA
Rfam family: Bacterial small subunit ribosomal RNA
Source: RNAcentral